This 497-nucleotide ribosomal RNA is filed under the name uncultured bacterium. RNAcentral's name for it is "partial 16S ribosomal RNA". It matches the Rfam family "Bacterial small subunit ribosomal RNA", at positions 28 to 507 of the family's 1533-position model. The record is from RNAcentral.
GAUGAACGCUGGCGGCGUGCCUAAUACAUGCAAGUCGAGCGAACAGACGAGGAGCUUGCUCCUCUGACGUUAGCGGCGGACGGGUGAGUAACACGUGGAUAACCUACCUAUAAGACUGGGAUAACUUCGGGAAACCGGAGCUAAUACCGGAUAAUAUAUUGAACCGCAUGGUUCAAUAGUGAAAGACGGUUUUGCUGUCACUUAUAGAUGGAUCCGCGCCGCAUUAGCUAGUUGGUAAGGUAACGGCUUACCAAGGCAACGAUGCGUAGCCGACCUGAGAGGGUGGUCGGCCACACUGGAACUGAGACACGGUCCAGAGUCCUACGGGAGGGAGCAGUAGGGAAUCUUCCGCAAUGGGCGAAAGCCUGACGGAGCAACGCCGCGUGAGUGAUGAAGGUCUUCGGAUCGUAAAACUCUGUUAUUAGGGAAGAACAAAUGUGUAAGUAACUAUGCACGUCUUGACGGUACCUAAUCAGAAAGCCACGGCUAACUACGUG